This 497-nucleotide ribosomal RNA is filed under the name uncultured bacterium. RNAcentral's name for it is "partial 16S ribosomal RNA". It matches the Rfam family "Bacterial small subunit ribosomal RNA", at positions 28 to 507 of the family's 1533-position model. The record is from RNAcentral.
GAUGAACGCUGGCGGCGUGCCUAAUACAUGCAAGUCGAGCGAACGGACGAGAAGCUUGCUUCUCUGAUGUUAGCGGCGGACGGGUGAGUAACACGUGGAUAACCUACCUAUAAGACUGGGAUAACUUCGGGAAACCGGAGCUAAUACCGGAUAAUAUUUUGAACCGCAUGGUUCAAAAGUGAAAGACGGUCUUGCUGUCACUUAUAGAUGGAUCCGCGCUGCAUUAGCUAGUUGGUAAGGUAACGGCUUACCAAGGCAACGAUGCAUAGCCGACCUGAGAGGGUGAUCGGCCACACGGGAACUGAGACACGGUCCAGACUCCUACGGGAGGCAGCAGUAGGGAAUCUUCCGCAAUGGGCGAAAGCCUGACGGAGCAACGCCGCGUGAGUGAUGAAGGUCUUCGGAUCGUAAAACGCUGUUAUUAGGGAAGAACAUAUGUGUAAGUAACUGUGCACAUCUUGACGGUACCUAAUCAGAAAGCCACGGCUAACUACGUG